Molecule: long non-coding RNA, 932 nt
Filed under: Brassica napus (rape)
Lineage: Eukaryota; Viridiplantae; Streptophyta; Magnoliopsida; Brassicales; Brassicaceae
Description: long non-coding RNA (BNAP_LNC005199)
Source: RNAcentral
AUGUUCUUAGGAUCUUUUGGUGAGAGAUGUGAGUUGGGUUUGACAUUGGGGAAUGAUUGUGUAAUUGUAUGUUUGGGAAAAUGGUAGAACAAUGGAGAUUGAGCAUUGUAUGCAUGAGUUGAUCUCUUUCUUAGAUAUAUUAUGUUCAAUGUCAAGGCUACUUGUUUCGAGAAUAAACCACCUUAAAGAUCAUAUAUUUUGAACAUCUUGACUCACUUGAAUAAAAGUAGCCUUGACAUUAAACAUAAUAUAUCUAAGAAAGAGAUCAACUCAUGCAUACAAUGCUCAAUCUCCAUUGUUCUACCCUUUUCCCAAACAUACAAUUACACAAUCAUUUCCCAAUGUCAAACCCAACUCACAUCUCUCACCAAAAGAUCCUAAGAACAUCAGCUCUUUCUCUUUGAAAUCUACAAGGGAUAUUUCACAAUUUCAAAACAUUUCUUAGCUCCUAACAACUUUGCUAGCCCCCUUUACUUUCUUUUCAUUUUCUUUUCUGUUUUUUCUUUUUCUUUUUUUUUUCUUUUUCAUUCUUCUUUUUAGGCUGGGGGCCAAAACUUUUCAUAACUUGAGCUAGAGGCUUCUCUACUUAUCCCAAUAAGACAAUUCUCUUAAACACAAAGAGCCAUUUCUUUUCCUUUUUCAUUGUUCCCAAAUCAUAAGCACAACACUCACCCCCCAUCUAUAGCUAGACAAUAAAGUACCCAAUCGUUUCGAGAAUAAACCACCUUAAAGAUCAUAUAUUUUGAACAUCUUGACUCACUUGAAUAAAAGUAGCCUUGACAUUGAACAUAAUAUAUCUAAGAAAGAGAUCAACUCAUGCAUACAAUGCUCAAUCUCCAUUGUUCUACCCUUUUCCCAAACAUACAAUUACACAAUCAUUUCCCAAUGUCAAACCCAACUCACAUCUCUCACCAAAAGAUCCUAAGAACAUC